Molecule: ribosomal RNA, 597 nt
Filed under: Brettanomyces bruxellensis
Lineage: Eukaryota; Fungi; Ascomycota; Pichiomycetes; Pichiales; Pichiaceae
Description: eukaryotic LSU rRNA
Rfam family: Eukaryotic large subunit ribosomal RNA
Source: RNAcentral
AGCGGAGGAAAAGAAACCAACAGGGAUUGCCCCAGUAAUGGCGAAUGAAGCGGCAAGAGCCCAAAUUUGAAAUCGGGCAACCGAGUUGUAAUUUGGAGACGGGACACUAGAGAGGAGGAAGGCGAUUAAGUGCCUUGGAACAGGCUGCCGUAGAGGGUGAGAGCCCCGUGAAUCGCUGGAGACCGAUCAAUUAGUGCCCGCCGAAGAGUCGAGUUGUUUGGGAAUGCAGCUCUAAGUGGGUGGUAUAUUCCAUCUAAGGCUAAAUAUUAGCGAGAGACCGAUAGCAAACAAGUACAGUGAUGGAAAGAUGAAAAGAACUUUGGAAAGAGAGUGAAAUAGUACGUGAAAUUGUUGAAAGGGAAGGGUAUUUGAUCCGACAUGGUGUUUAGCAGCGGCCCGUUCCUCGUGGAUGGGUGCACCUGGUUUACACUGGGCCAGCAUCGGUUCUGGGAGCCAUAUACGGGGUUCGUGAAUGUGGCCCUUCGAUUCUGUCGGAGGGUGUUAUAGCGCGGACAUCUUGUGGCUAGCCGGGACCGGGGACUGCGGUGACUUGUCACCAAGGAUGCUGGCAGAACGAGCAAAUACCACCCGUCUUGA